RNAcentral lists this ribosomal RNA (637 nucleotides) under Hapalosiphon intricatus BHULCR1. RNAcentral describes it as "bacterial SSU rRNA". It matches the Rfam family "Bacterial small subunit ribosomal RNA", at positions 98 to 769 of the family's 1533-position model. Lineage: Bacteria; Bacillati; Cyanobacteriota; Cyanophyceae; Nostocales; Hapalosiphonaceae. The record is from RNAcentral.
UCUGACGGGUGAGUAACGCGUGAGAAUCUGGCUCUAGGUUCGGGACAACCACUGGAAACGGUGGCUAAUACCGGGUAUGCCGAGAGGUGAAAGGUUAACUGCCUGGAGAUGAGCUCGCGUCUGAUUAGCUAGUUGGUGGUGUAAGGGACUACCAAGGCGACGAUCAGUAGCUGGUCUGAGAGGAUGAUCAGCCACACUGGAACUGAGACACGGUCCAGACUCCUACGGGAGGCAGCAGUGGGGAAUUUUCCGCAAUGGGCGAAAGCCUGACGGAGCAAUACCGCGUGAGGGAGGAAGGCUCUUGGGUUGUAAACCUCUUUUCUCAGGGAAUAAGCAAGUGAAGGUACCUGAGGAAUCAGCAUCGGCUAACUCCGUGCCAGCAGCCGCGGUAAUACGGAGGAUGCAAGCGUUAUCCGGAAUGAUUGGGCGUAAAGCGUCCGUAGGUGGCUGUGUGUGUCUAUUGUUAAAGAGUUUGGCUCAACCAAAUAAGGGCGGUAGAAACUACACAGCUAGAGUGCGUUCGGGGCAGAGGGAAUUCCUGGUGUAGCGGUGAAAUGCGUAGAGAUCAGGAAGAACACCGGCCCGAAAAAAAAGGGAAAAGACACCCCUGGCGUCAUCGGACGGGAGAGACGCGCGC